UACGAAGGGGGCUAGCGUUGUUCGGAAUUACUGGGCGUAAAGCGUUUGUAGGCGGUUAAGUAAGUCAGUGGUGAAAGCCUGGGGCUCAACCUCAGAAUUGCCAUUGAAACUACUUAGCUAGAGAGUGUUAGAGGAAAGUGGAAUUCCUAGUGUAGGAGUGAAAUCCGUAGAGAUUAGGAGGAAUAUCGAUGGCGAAGGCAGCUUUCUGGGACAUUUCUGACGCUGAGAAACGAAAGCGUGGGUAGCAAACAGG
RNAcentral lists this ribosomal RNA (253 nucleotides) under uncultured bacterium. RNAcentral's name for it is "partial 16S ribosomal RNA". It matches the Rfam family "Bacterial small subunit ribosomal RNA", at positions 524 to 776 of the family's 1533-position model. The record is from RNAcentral.